Molecule: ribosomal RNA, 419 nt
Filed under: bacterium
Lineage: Bacteria
Description: partial 16S ribosomal RNA
Rfam family: Bacterial small subunit ribosomal RNA
Source: RNAcentral
UGGAGGAUAUUGCACAAUGGGCGAAAGCCUGAUGCAGCGACGCCGCGUGGGGGAUGAAGGCCUUCGGGUUGUAAACUUCUUUUGCUCUGAACAAGGCGCACCAUGGGGUGUGUUGAGUGUAGGGGUUGAUUAGCGCCGGCUAACUACGUGCCAGCAGCCGCGGUAAUACGUAGGGCGCGAGCGUUGUCCGGAAUUAUUGGGCGUAAAGGGCUUGUAGGUGGCUGGUUGCGUCUGUCGUGAAAGCUCAUGGCUUAACUGUGGGUUUGCGGUGGGUACGGGCUGGCUUGAGUGCAGUAGGGGAGGCUGGAAUUCCUGGUGUAGCGGUGGAAUGCGCAGAUAUCAGGAGGAAUACCGGUGGCGAAGGCGGGUCUCUGGGCUGUUACUGACACUGAGGAGCGAAAGCAUGGGGAGCGAACAGG